This is a non-coding RNA of Camellia sinensis, 2004 nucleotides long. Lineage: Eukaryota; Viridiplantae; Streptophyta; Magnoliopsida; Ericales; Theaceae. The record is from RefSeq and is a predicted model, not a curated record.
AAAAAAAUGUUUUCAGCUUUUUGCUGUCUGGGAGCUUAAGAUGAUGUUCCUCUUGUUUUCUUGAGUGUAUCUGGGAAGAUGAGAAUAGGUGAAUUUUGUGAAGGAUAAAUGCUUACAAUUUUUAAAUUCAAAUAAAUGGGGGAAUAACUAAUAGCUGUCCCCCAGUUAUUGUUCGGAUUGUUCUCCCCCUUCAUCCAACUGUCAAAAAAUAAUCCUCUUUAUUAUCCCAUACAUUUAUCCCACCCUAAGAAAACAUAGUAUAACUAAUCCUAUCUACAUACAUAAUCCAUCUACGACUUAUCCUCUCUAAACCUGACCACAGUUUCAUGGUAUCCAAUCCCUCCCCCCAAAAUUAAUCUGGCAAUCAAACGGGGCCAAAGAGAUUUGCAGUGAAUUGUUGACACAAGUUGUUUGCUUUUUGUUCAGGGUUGAGCAAGUUCUUCACUUACUGUUUUGUCUGUGUUGUGGGUGAGAUUUGGUAAUGUUAGCUGGUGUAGGAUUGUUUUUCUUCGUAACUUAUGCAGUUAUGCCAGGUUUUGGCCCCUGUUUUUUAACUACAUCUUUAUUUGAAAAAUAAAAAAGAAUGACUGAGCUGCCAUCCUGGUAUAUCCCAAUUUAUCUGCUUUGAUACAUGUUUGAUUUCAGGCUACCAGAACAAUUAUACUCGUGUUUGCAUGCUGAGACUUGAGACUUAUGUGAUUGCUGACUAGUUUUCUCUGCUUGUCUAUCCCAAUUGUUACUUCUUCAAUGAUAUGUUUGAAGUUUUUACGUCCAGUUUUGCAGACACACUUAAAUCAAGUGGAUUUUCCCUCAAAUUUUCCUUAUCGAGUUCAAGUCCUCAUUGCAUUUGCAUUUGUUGCACAGACACAUCUAGGUUGUCAACGAGUGUGGUCAGGCUGCACCAUAAUAUCAUUGCUGAAAAGAAACUGAUUCAAGUAAGCCAUGCUAGGGAGCUUGCUUGGUCUCUUAUAUUAUAUGUUAGCACAAAGCAACCCAUAGAGUAGCAAGCAUGGUGGCUUGUGAUUUGCAUAUUGUGGCUUUUGUUUAGCUGUAAUUUAAAUUCUAGUUAGUAGUCACCAAGAAGUGCCCACUGAUAAUCCAAUGAAUGAGUCGGUAGUUUAUUUGCAUGAAGAGAAUGGCUUGUGAACUCAUCACUGUGCUUCACUGGGAUUGGAAUCUUGGUGAUUAUUGUUGCCAAUAUCUGUUGUUAUAUCAAUUAGGCUGCCACUGACUUUAUAAUUGCACCUUCUGCUUUGAGGGAGCUAAAUAUAGAUUUUCAGCAAUUGCAAACGGUAACUAAUGUCAUUUGUUCAUUACAGACAAAAGGGUACUUUAUGUUCUGUUCACUUACACAAAAGAAAUAAAAAAAGGGUGCUUUAUGUUCUGUUUCAGUUUGAACUGGUAACUUACCAAUAAAAGUGAAUACAAAUCGUAGAAAUGAACCCACAAAUGUGGUCCUUUUUACAUUACCAAUAGAAAUUCAAGUUGGUACUUGUAAAAUUUAUGGAUGACCUAAAGAAACCAGAGUCCACCGGGCAUUGUCAUAAUGUCCGAAGCAAAGCCAUGACAUGACUGAUCUUCUCAACUGGAUGUGGAAUGCAAUACUGAAUACAAAUGACGGGCCUUUAAAAACUCAAGAGAGUGACUAAAGAAGUAGUGAUGGAAUGUGUAGUUGAUAUGAGUGAUUGGAUAGUGAGGAACUCUCCUCUCUAUGAUGAAAGGCAUAAAAUGGUUUCUGAAGAUCAAAUCCGGGGCAUCUGAAUGUAAUAGGGUUGGAAAGAAGAUACAAUUUUGCUUCUGAUGGUUUGGCAUGAAGAUGUGGUUCUAAAAGCAGUUUUACUCGGUGGAUAAGGGGACCAUGGUUGGCCUCUGUUUCCCAUUAGCCAGAGCUUCAACAACUUAAGAGGAAGCUGAAGUGUGAACCCUGUAAAAUUUGAAUGAAGUUUGGAAGCCUGAAGCUGACAGGUCCGGUGGCUGCCCUGCCCACCAUGCCUUUCAAGUAGU